This 645-nucleotide ribosomal RNA is filed under the name Acinetobacter sp. B2790_1. RNAcentral's name for it is "bacterial SSU rRNA". It matches the Rfam family "Bacterial small subunit ribosomal RNA", at positions 109 to 749 of the family's 1533-position model. The record is from RNAcentral. Lineage: Bacteria; Pseudomonadati; Pseudomonadota; Gammaproteobacteria; Moraxellales; Moraxellaceae.
AGUAAUGCUUAGGAAUCUGCCUAUUAGUGGGGGACAACAUUCCGAAAGGAAUGCUAAUACCGCAUACGCCCUACGGGGGAAAGCAGGGGAUCUUCGGACCUUGCGCUAAUAGAUGAGCCUAAGUCAGAUUAGCUAGUUGGUGGGGUAAAGGCCUACCAAGGCGACGAUCUGUAGCGGGUCUGAGAGGAUGAUCCGCCACACUGGGACUGAGACACGGCCCAGACUCCUACGGGAGGCAGCAGUGGGGAAUAUUGGACAAUGGGCGCAAGCCUGAUCCAGCCAUGCCGCGUGUGUGAAGAAGGCCUUUUGGUUGUAAAGCACUUUAAGCGAGGAGGAGGCUACUUGGAUUAAUACUCUAGGAUAGUGGACGUUACUCGCAGAAUAAGCACCGGCUAACUCUGUGCCAGCAGCCGCGGUAAUACAGAGGGUGCGAGCGUUAAUCGGAUUUACUGGGCGUAAAGCGUGCGUAGGCGGCUUUUUAAGUCGGAUGUGAAAUCCCUGAGCUUAACUUAGGAAUUGCAUUCGAUACUGGGAAGCUAGAGUAUGGGAGAGGAUGGUAGAAUUCCAGGUGUAGCGGUGAAAUGCGUAGAGAUCUGGAGGAAUACCGAUGGCGAAGGCAGCCAUCUGGCCUAAUACUGACGCUGA